This 252-nucleotide ribosomal RNA is filed under the name uncultured bacterium. Its description in RNAcentral is "partial 16S ribosomal RNA". It matches the Rfam family "Bacterial small subunit ribosomal RNA", at positions 524 to 776 of the family's 1533-position model. The record is from RNAcentral.
UACGUAGGGGGCAAGCGUUGUCCGGAAUUAUUGGGCGUAAAGAGCGCGCAGGCGGUUAUGUAAGUUGGUUGUGUAAACGCAAGGCUCAACCUUGAGGAGCAAUCAAAACUGCAUAACUUGAGUACAGAAGAGGAAAGUGGAAUUCCAUGUGUAGCGGUGAAAUGCGUAGAUAUGUGGAGGAACACCAGUGGCGAAGGCGACUUUCUGGGCUGAAACUGACGCUGAGGCGCGAAAGCGUGGGGAGCAAACAGG